Molecule: ribosomal RNA, 520 nt
Filed under: uncultured bacterium
Lineage: Bacteria
Description: bacterial SSU rRNA
Rfam family: Bacterial small subunit ribosomal RNA
Source: RNAcentral
GGGAAUCUACCGUGCCCUGCGGAAUAGCUCCGGGAAACUGGAAUUAAUACCGCAUACGCCCUACGGGGGAAAGAUUUAUCGGGGUGUGAUGAGCCCGCGUUGGAUUAGCUAGUUGGUGGGGUAAAGGCCUACCAAGGCGACGAUCCAUAGCUGGUCUGAGAGGAUGAUCAGCCACAUUGGGACUGAGACACGGCCCAAACUCCUACGGGAGGCAGCAGUGGGGAAUAUUGGACAAUGGGCGCAAGCCUGAUCCAGCCAUGCCGCGUGAGUGAUGAAGGCCUUAGGGUUGUAAAGCUCUUUCACCGGAGAAGAUAAUGACGGUAUCCGGAGAAGAAGCCCCGGCUAACUUCGUGCCAGCAGCCGCGGUAAUACGAAGGGGGCUAGCGUUGUUCGGAAUUACUGGGCGUAAAGCGCACGUAGGCGGAUAUUUGAGUCAGGGGUGAAAUCCCAGAGCUCAACUCUGGAACUGCCUUUGAUACUGGGUAUCUUGAGUAUGGAAGAGGUAAGUGGAAUUGCGAGU